Molecule: ribosomal RNA, 497 nt
Filed under: uncultured bacterium
Lineage: Bacteria
Description: partial 16S ribosomal RNA
Rfam family: Bacterial small subunit ribosomal RNA
Source: RNAcentral
GAUGAACGCUGGCGGCGUGCCUAAUACAUGCAAGUCGAGCGGACGGACGAUAAUCUUGCUGCUCUGAUGUUUGCGGCGGGCGUGUGAGUAACGCGUGUAUAACCUACCUAUAAUACUGGUAUCACUUCGGGAAACCGGAUCUAAUAGCGUAUAAGAUUUUGAACCGCAGGGUGCAAUAGUAAGAUACGGUCGUGCGGUCACUUAUAGCUGGAUCCGGGCUGCAUUAGAUAGUUGUUAAGGUAACGGCUUACCAAGGCAACGAUGCAUAGCCGACCGGAGAGGCUGAUAGCCCACCCUGGAACUGAGCCACCGUCAAGGCUCCUACGGUAGGCAGCAGUAGCGAAUCUUAGGCAAUGGGCGAAAGCAUGACGGAGCAAGGGCGAGUGAGUGAUGAAGGUCUUCGGAUCGUAAAACUCUGCUAUUAGGGAAGAACAUCUGUGUACGUAAAUGUGGACAUAGUGACGGUACCUAAUAAGAAAGCACCGGCUAACUACGUG